This 253-nucleotide ribosomal RNA is filed under the name uncultured bacterium. Its description in RNAcentral is "partial 16S ribosomal RNA". It matches the Rfam family "Bacterial small subunit ribosomal RNA", at positions 524 to 776 of the family's 1533-position model. The record is from RNAcentral.
UACAUAGGGUGCAAGCGUUGUCCGGAAUUAUUGGGCGUAAAGAGCUCGUAGGUCGUUAGUUACGUCGGGUGUGAAAAUCUGGGGCUCAACCCCAGACCUGCACUCGAUACGGAUUAGCUAGAGUUUGGUAGGGGAGACUGGAAUUCCUGGUGUAGCGGUGGAAUGCGCAGAUAUCAGGAGGAACACCAAUGGCGAAGGCAGGUCUCUGGGCCAAUACUGACACUGAGGAGCGAAAGCGCGGGGAGCGAACAGG